GACGAACGCUGGCGGCGUGCUUAACACAUGCAAGUCGAACGGUGAUGCUCCAGCUUGCUGGAGUGGAUCAGUGGCGAACGGGUGAGUAACACGUGAGCAACCUGCCCCAGACUCUGGAAUAAGCGCUGGAAACGGCGUCUAAUACUGGAUACGAAACUGGCCCGCAUGGGCAUGGUUUGGAAAGUUUUUCGGUUUGGGAUGGGCUCGCGGCCUAUCAGCUUGUUGGUGAGGUAAUGGCUCACCAAGGCGACGACGGUUAGCCGGCCUGAGAGGGCGACCGGCCACACUGGGACUGAGACACGGCCCAGACUCCUACGGGAGGCAGCAGUGGGGAAUAUUGCACAAUGGGCGAAAGCCUGAUGCAGCGACGCCGCGUGAGGGAUGACGGCCUUCGGGUUGUAAACCUCUUUCAGCAGGGAAGAAGCGAAAGUGACGGUACCUGCAGAAGAAGCACCGGCUAACUACGUG
RNAcentral lists this ribosomal RNA (468 nucleotides) under uncultured bacterium. Its description in RNAcentral is "partial 16S ribosomal RNA". It matches the Rfam family "Bacterial small subunit ribosomal RNA", at positions 28 to 507 of the family's 1533-position model. The record is from RNAcentral.